RNAcentral lists this transfer RNA (72 nucleotides) under Sus scrofa (pig). It matches the Rfam family "tRNA". From Rfam's summary of the family: Transfer RNA (tRNA) molecules are approximately 80 nucleotides in length. Their secondary structure includes four short double-helical elements and three loops (D, anti-codon, and T loops). Further hydrogen bonds mediate the characteristic L-shaped molecular structure. tRNAs have two regions of fundamental functional importance: the anti-codon, which is responsible for specific mRNA codon recognition, and the 3' end, to which the tRNAs corresponding amino acid is attached (by aminoacyl-tRNA synthetases). tRNAs cope with the degeneracy of the genetic code in two manners: having more than one tRNA (with a specific anti-codon) for a particular amino acid; and 'wobble' base-pairing, i.e. permitting non-standard base-pairing at the 3rd anti-codon position. The record is from Rfam by way of RNAcentral. Lineage: Eukaryota; Metazoa; Chordata; Mammalia; Artiodactyla; Suidae.
UCCCUGGUGGUCUAGUGGUUACGACUCAGAGCUUUCACUUCUGUGGCCCGGGUUCAAUCCCUGGUCUGGGAA